CUCGUCAGACGAACGCGGCGGCGUGCCUAAUACAUGCAAGUCGAACGCGUCUUGGUUAUUGAUGUUAAGAUGCUUGCAUUUAACUGAUUUAACAUUGAGACGAGUGGCGAACUGGUGAGUAACACGUGGGUAACCUGCCCUUGAAGUAGGGGAUAACACUUGGAAACAGGUGCUAAUACCGUAUAACAACCAAAACCACCUGGUUUUGGUUUAAAAGAUGGCUUCGGCUAUCACUUUAGGAUGGACCCGCGGCGUAUUAGCUUGUUGGUAAGGUAACGGCCUACCAAGGCAAUGAUACGUAGCCGACCUGAGAGGGUAAUCGGCCACAUUGGGACUGAGACACGGCCCAAACUCCUACGGGAGGCAGCAGUAGGGAAUCUUCCACAAUGGACGAAAGUCUGAUGGAGCAACGCCGCGUGAGUGAUGAAGGGUUUCGGCUCGUAAAACUCUGUUGUUGGAGAAGAACAGGUGUGAGAGUAACUGUUCACAUCUUGACGGUAUCCAACCAGAAAGCCACGGCUAACUACGUGCCAGCAGCCGCGGUAAUACGUAGGUGGCAAGCGUUGUCCGGAUUUAUUGGGCGUAAAGCGAGCGCAGGCGGUUUCUUAGGUCUGAUGUGAAAGCCUUCGGCUUAACCGGAGAAGUGCAUCGGAAACCAGGAGACUUGAGUGCAGAAGAGGACAGUGGAACUCCAUGUGUAGCGGUGAAAUGCGUAGAUAUAUGGAAGAACACCAGUGGCGAAGGCGGCUGUCUGGUCUGUAACUGACGCUGAGGCUCGAAAGCAUGGGUAGCGAACAGGAUUAGAUACCCUGGUAGUCCAUGCCGUAAACGAUGAGUGCUAAGUGUUGGAGGGUUUCCGCCCUUCAGUGCUGCAGCUAACGCAUUAAGCACUCCGCCUGGGGAGUACGACCGCAAGGUUGAAACUCAAAGGAAUUGACGGGGGCCCGCACAAGCGGUGGAGCAUGUGGUUUAAUUCGAUGCUACGCGAAGAACCUUACCAGGUCUUGACAUCUUCUGCCAACCUAAGAGAUUAGGCGUUCCCUUCGGGGACAGAAUGACAGGUGGUGCAUGGUUGUCGUCAGCUCGUGUCGUGAGAUGUUGGGUUAAGUCCCGCAACGAGCGCAACCCUUAUGGUUAGUUGCCAGCAUUCAGUUGGGCACUCUAGCAAGACUGCCGUGACAACCGGAGGAAGGUGGGGAUGACGUCAAUCAUCAGGCCCUUAUGACUGGGCUACCACGUGCUACAUGGACGG
RNAcentral lists this ribosomal RNA (1252 nucleotides) under Lentilactobacillus parabuchneri. RNAcentral describes it as "bacterial SSU rRNA". It matches the Rfam family "Bacterial small subunit ribosomal RNA", at positions 21 to 1236 of the family's 1533-position model. The record is from RNAcentral. Lineage: Bacteria; Bacillati; Bacillota; Bacilli; Lactobacillales; Lactobacillaceae.